This 265-nucleotide ribosomal RNA is filed under the name uncultured archaeon. RNAcentral describes it as "partial 16S ribosomal RNA". It matches the Rfam family "Archaeal small subunit ribosomal RNA", at positions 717 to 982 of the family's 1478-position model. The record is from RNAcentral.
ACACGACUACAUUAGAUACCCCGGUAGUCCCAGCCCUAAACGAUGCGCGUUAGGUGUAUCGGUGACCACGAGUCACCGAGGUGCCGAAGGGAAACCGUGAAACGUGCCGCCUGGGAAGUACGGUCGCAAGGCUGAAACUUAAAGGAAUUGGCGGGGGAGCACCGCAACGGGUGGAGCCUGCGGUUUAAUUGGACUCAACGCCGGGAAGCUCACCGGAUAAGACAGCGGAAUGAUUGCCGGGCUGAAGACCCUGCAUGACCAGCUG